RNAcentral lists this ribosomal RNA (1404 nucleotides) under Triticum aestivum (bread wheat). RNAcentral describes it as "partial small subunit ribosomal RNA". The record is from RNAcentral. Lineage: Eukaryota; Viridiplantae; Streptophyta; Magnoliopsida; Poales; Poaceae.
AUGUGGACUUCUGACAGCCAAAAGAAGGGAUAUAUGGCUAUUACAGCCCAUUUCAUUGAUGAGUCUUGGAGGCUAAGGAACAUUCUCAUGAGGUUUCUUUAUGUUCCAGCACCACAUAAUGCGGAAGUGAUAGCUGAUCAGCUCCAUGAAUCAUUGGUUGAAUGGAAUCUUGAUGAAAAGCUCUUGACUGUGACCGUUGAUAAUUGCAACGCCAAUGGCAAGGCAAUUGCGGAGAUUGUGGGGAAGAUAGAAAAAAGUAAGCUUCUUUGUGAAGGUACUUUACUUCACAUGCGUUGUUGUGCACAUAUUUUGAAUUUGAUAGUGAAGGAUGGCUUAGAUGUUAUGCAAUCAGCUAUAGAAAACAUUCGUGAAAGUGUGGCAUAUUGGACCGCCUCACCAAAAAGGAUAGAGAAGUUUGAGGAAAUGGCCAAGUAUAAGAAAGUGAAAAUAAAAAGGAAGUUGAGACUUGAUUGCCAGACUAGGUGGAACUCUACUUUUGUAAUGCUUGAUAUUGCUUUGCCUUAUAGACCUGUCUUUGAACGUGCAAAAGAAAAAGAAAAGCAAUAUGAGUGGCUGCCUAGUUCAGAAGAAUGGGAUUUUGUUGUAGAUGUUGUAGAGAGGCUUAGGUUGUUCUAUGAAAUAACCGAGCUAUUUUCUGGAACUGAUUAUGUGACUGCCAAUGUGUACUUUCCUAAGAUAUGUGAAAUUAAAAUGAAAAUGAGGCAGUGGGAAGCAUCUAGCAACAACAUUAUCAAAGAAAUGACAAAAAGCAUGACUGAAAAAUUUGAUAAGUAUUGGAGCGACAUCCAAGGUCUAAUGGCUAUAGCUAUAAUUCUUGAUCCUCGAUACAAGAAGCAAAUGUUGGUAUCUUGCUUUGCCAUGCUCCAUGGCAUUGAGCCAUCUUCUUAUGAAUGCAUUGAAAAAGUUGAUGACAUAGUUGCUAGUCUGCGCUUAUUAUUGGAAGAAUAUGAAGUGGAAAAUGAGGCAUAUACACCGGAUGAAGAAUCUAUGAUUUCUACAAUGAAAGCUCCUGCAAUCAUGAGUGUCUUCAAAAACAUUGUAGCUCAACAAAUGCCCGCAACAACUAGACUUCAAGGUGAAAUAGAUCAAUACUUGAAUGAUGGAUUAGUGCCUUACGUUGAGAAGUUCAACGUGUUGGAUUGGUGGAAAGUGGCUAGAACUAGGUAUCCAACCUUAAGGAAAGUUGCAAGGGACAUAUUUGCUAUUCCUGUUACAAUGGUUGCUUCAGAAUCAGCCUUUUCUACAAGUGGCAGAAAGCUCAAUGACCAUAGAAGCCAAUUGACACCACAUAUGGUUGAGGUUUUAAUGUGCUCACAAGAUUGGCUUAGAAACAAGUUCAAAGAUGCUAACACAGGAGAAGCUAGCUUUUGGACUUGCCUUCAA